UACGUAGGGUGCAAGCGUUGUCCGGAAUUAUUGGGCGUAAAGCGCACGUAGGCGGCUUUCAAGUCCCAUGUGAAAGCCCACGGCUUAACCGUGGAAGUGCAUGGGAAACUGGAAGCUUGAGUACUUAAGAGGAUCGCGGAAUUCCCGGUGUAGAGGUGAAAUUCGUAGAUAUCGGCAAGAACACCAGUGGCGAAGGCGGCGACUGGGACCGGUACGUACGUGACGCUGAGGUGCGAAAGCGUGGGGAGCAAACAGG
Molecule: ribosomal RNA, 256 nt
Filed under: uncultured bacterium
Lineage: Bacteria
Description: partial 16S ribosomal RNA
Rfam family: Bacterial small subunit ribosomal RNA
Source: RNAcentral